UAUGCUUUAGUAUAAGAUGUACAGGAAUUUUUGGUAUUUCAGGGGAUAGUUUGAUUCUGUCAAGUGUAA
RNAcentral lists this transfer RNA (69 nucleotides) under unidentified. Its description in RNAcentral is "Cryptocephalus dimidiatipennis tRNA-Gln". The record is from RNAcentral.